GACCCUGAUCAGUAGCAGCCCACCACAAA
RNAcentral lists this small RNA (29 nucleotides) under Bombyx mori (domestic silkworm). RNAcentral's name for it is "ovarian small RNA-15476". Lineage: Eukaryota; Metazoa; Arthropoda; Insecta; Lepidoptera; Bombycidae. The record is from RNAcentral.